RNAcentral lists this ribosomal RNA (458 nucleotides) under uncultured bacterium. RNAcentral describes it as "partial 16S ribosomal RNA". It matches the Rfam family "Bacterial small subunit ribosomal RNA", at positions 338 to 795 of the family's 1533-position model. The record is from RNAcentral.
CCUACGGGAGGCUGCAGUGAGGAAUAUUGGACAAUGGGCGAGAGCCUGAACCAGCCAAGUCGCGUGAGGGAGUACUGCCCUAUGGGUUGUAAACCUCUUUUGUCGGGGAGCAAAAGCCGGACGUGUCCGUCUGUGAGAGUAACCGAAGAAAAAGCAUCGGCUAACUACGUGCCCGCGGCCGCGCGAAUACGUGGGAUGAGAGCGUUAUCCGGAUUUAUUGGGGUUCAAGGGUGCGCAGGCGGAUUUUUAAGUCAGCGGUCAAGUCGUGGGGCUCAACCCCAUCCAGCCGUUGAAACUGGGGAGAUGGAGUGUGCGAGAGGUAUGCGGAAUGCGUGGUGUAGCGGUGAAAUGCAUAGAUAUCACGCAGAACCCCGAUUGCGAAGGCAGCAUACCGGUGCACAACUGACGCUCAGGCACGAAAGCGUGGGUAUCGAACAGGAUUAGAUACCCGGGUAGUC